CCUACGGGUGGCAGCAGUGAGGAAUAUUGGUCAAUGGCCGGAAGGCUGAACCAGCCAAGCCGCGUGAAGGACGAAGGUGCCAAGCAUUGUAAACUUCUUUUGUCAAGGGACAAAAUCAGGCUCGAGAGCCUGACCGCGGGUACUUGAAGAAAAAGCAUCGGCUAACUCCGUGCCACCAGCCGCGGUAAUACGGAGGAUGCGAGCGUUAUCCGGAUUUAUUGGGUUUAAAGGGUGCGUAGUCGGAUUGUUAAGUCAGCGGUAAAAGCUCGGGGCUCAACCCCGGCGAGCCGUUGAAACUGGCUGUCUUGAGAUGUCGAGAGGUAUGCGGAAUGCGCAGUGUAGCGGUGAAAUGCUUAGAUAUUGCGCAGAACUCCGAUUGCGAAGGCAGCAUACCGGCGGCGAUCUGACGUUGAGGCACGAAAGCGUGGGUAUCGAACAGGAUUAGAUACCCUGGUAGUC
This 459-nucleotide ribosomal RNA is filed under the name uncultured bacterium. Its description in RNAcentral is "partial 16S ribosomal RNA". It matches the Rfam family "Bacterial small subunit ribosomal RNA", at positions 338 to 795 of the family's 1533-position model. The record is from RNAcentral.